Molecule: transfer RNA, 87 nt
Filed under: Escherichia coli
Lineage: Bacteria; Pseudomonadati; Pseudomonadota; Gammaproteobacteria; Enterobacterales; Enterobacteriaceae
Also listed under: 3 other names
Description: tRNA-Leu
Rfam family: tRNA
About the family: Transfer RNA (tRNA) molecules are approximately 80 nucleotides in length. Their secondary structure includes four short double-helical elements and three loops (D, anti-codon, and T loops). Further hydrogen bonds mediate the characteristic L-shaped molecular structure. tRNAs have two regions of fundamental functional importance: the anti-codon, which is responsible for specific mRNA codon recognition, and the 3' end, to which the tRNAs corresponding amino acid is attached (by aminoacyl-tRNA synthetases). tRNAs cope with the degeneracy of the genetic code in two manners: having more than one tRNA (with a specific anti-codon) for a particular amino acid; and 'wobble' base-pairing, i.e. permitting non-standard base-pairing at the 3rd anti-codon position.
Source: RNAcentral
GCCCGGAUGGUGGAAUCGGUAGACACAAGGGAUUUAAAAUCCCUCGGCGUCCGCGCUGUGCGGGUUCAAGUCCCGCUCCGGGUACCA